Molecule: ribosomal RNA, 253 nt
Filed under: uncultured bacterium
Lineage: Bacteria
Description: partial 16S ribosomal RNA
Rfam family: Bacterial small subunit ribosomal RNA
Source: RNAcentral
UACGUAGGGUCCGAGCGUUGUCUGGAAUUAUUGGGCGUAAAGAGCUCGUAGGCGGUUUGUCGCGUCUGCUGUGAAAUCCCGAGGCUCAACCUCGGGUCUGCAGUGGGUACGGGCAGACUGGAGUGCGGUAGGGGAGAAUGGAAUUCCUGGUGUAGCGGUGGAAUGCGCAGAUAUCAGGAGGAACACCGAUGGCGAAGGCAGUUCUCUGGGCCGUAACUGGCGCUGAGGAGCGAAAGCGUGGGGAGCGAACAGG